GUGGGGAAUAUUGGGCAAUGGGCGAAAGCCUGACCCAGCAACGCCGCGUGAAGGAAGAAGGUUUUCUGAUCGUAAACUUCUAUCCUUGGUGAAGAUAAUGACGGUAGCCAAGAAGGAAGCCCCGGCUAACUACGUGCCAGCAGCCGCGGUAAUACGUAGGGGGCAAGCGUUGUCCGGAAUGAUUGGGCGUAAAGGGCGCGUAGGCGGCCUGGUAAGUCUGGAGUGAAAGUCCUGCUUUUAAGGUGGGAAUUGCUUUGGAUACUGUCGGGCUUGAGUGCAGGAGAGGUAAGUGGAAUUCCCGGUGUAGCGGUGAAAUGCGUAGAGAUCGGGAGGAACACCAGUGGCGAAGGCGACUUACUGGACUGUAACUGACGCUGAGGCGCGAAAGUGUGGGGAGCAAACAGGAUUAGAAACCCCUGUAGUCC
RNAcentral lists this ribosomal RNA (425 nucleotides) under uncultured bacterium. RNAcentral describes it as "partial 16S ribosomal RNA". It matches the Rfam family "Bacterial small subunit ribosomal RNA", at positions 354 to 796 of the family's 1533-position model. The record is from RNAcentral.